CAUCAGCAAAGGAGCUGAGGUCUCUCUGGUGUGUCUGGUCUCUGGUCCUGUGCUGCAGGAUUACUACAUCGCCUGGUCAGAAGGUACUGAAAAUAAGGCCGGCAUCUAUAUGGAUGGCAUUAACUUCCCCCCACAGAAGACCCAACAUGGCUACUUAGUUACAAGUGUUUACACCACCACCAAGGAAAAGUGGGACAAGCACAGCAUGUUCAACUGCAACGUCUGGCCUGCUGGUAGAAGUGUGUCUGUGAAACCCAAAGGAGUGUCUAAGGCCCAGGCUCCUGUCACAGUGACACUGAACCAACCCAGUGCCAAAGAAAUUUUCAGCAACAACAAAAUAAAGUUGGAGUGUAUCAUUACUGGACAGGACGAGACCAUUGUAAAUGAAAUUCAAGUCACUUGGCAAACUGAUGGACAAGAUGUGACCAACAACAUUGCUGAAUCAACAUCGUCCAGCGGCGUUCAGCACAGCAAAACCAGCACGAUAACUCGUAGUCUGUCUGAGUGGCAGAGUGUCAACAAAGUGCGCUGUUCUGCCAUUAGAGACGAUAUGACUCCAGUUAUUCAGGAUCUGACUGUCCACAAAGGAGAUGGGAGUGAGCCAAAUGUGACAGUCCAUGUCCUCCCAGAGGAGGACAUCAGCAAAGGAGCUGAGGUCUCUCUGGUGUGUCUGGUCUCUGGUCCUGUGCUGCAGGAUUACUACAUCGCCUGGUCAGAAGGUUCUGGAAAUAAAACUAGCAACUAUAAGGAUGGCAUUAACUUCCCCCCACAGAAGACCCAACAAGGCUACUUAGUUACAAGUGUUUACACCACCACCAAGGAAAAGUGGGACAAGCACAACAUGUUCAACUGCAACGUCUGGCCUGCUGGUAGAAAUAAGGCCAUGGAACCCAAAGGAGUGUCUAAGGACCAUGAUUCUCCUCCAGAUUUAAAACUGAGUUUGGCUCUGAGCUGCAUAGAGGAUGCCAUUGAAGAGGAUGAGUUCAGCAGUCUGUGGUCCACAACCUCCUCCUUCAUAUUCCUCUUCAUAUCCUCUCUCUUCUAUAGCAUGAUAUUCAGCCUGGUCAAGAUGAAGAGAAGAUAAAGGAUGAUGUGGAUGGGUAGCAUAAGACAACUUUUGCAGAGACUCUUGUUUUGUCUUUUUCUGAUCUAGUUUUAAAAACUUGGACAUUAUUGAACAUCUAC
Non-coding RNA from Micropterus dolomieu (smallmouth bass), 1185 nucleotides. The record is from the annotation of a RefSeq genome assembly. Lineage: Eukaryota; Metazoa; Chordata; Actinopteri; Centrarchiformes; Centrarchidae.